This 154-nucleotide non-coding RNA is filed under the name uncultured eukaryote. The record is from RNAcentral.
AUCAUAGUCAGAAUAACAAAAAUGAUAAUGAUAAUAACAACAAUAAUGACACCAACAAAGGCACCGUCUUCUCCUCAAUGUCGUGACGGCCGAGAUCUCGCUUUUUCUUUCUUUUUUCUUUUUUUUCAUUCAUAAUAUUGUUAUUAUUAUUAUA